CCCCUUGCGCCCCUCCCUGCCCGCGCCUAUAUCUGACCUUGUCCGGGGCAACCCGGACUAUGGUGAUAAACGCACCUGUAAUAAACGGCUCGGACCCGGGGGCGGUACCCGGCGGCUCCACCAUUCCACCCGGCGUUGCGGGGGUAAGGGGCCGAAAUAGGAUCGACGGACGUCUAAAGAGGCCAGCUUUUACCCGGUAGGCACCACCGUUAUCGGACCACAAGUACAGUUGCCAACGACAACCGUGCUCCGAUGGCUCUGGCUGCGUAAGCGGUCCGAACAUCGAAACCUAAGCCCUUGCGCUUAGCCGCGUAAGGCGGGGCCACCAGGAGCCUGGCAACAGAAUCCUGGAC
RNAcentral lists this transfer-messenger RNA (353 nucleotides) under Pseudorhodobacter sp. It matches the Rfam family "Alphaproteobacteria transfer-messenger RNA". From Rfam's summary of the family: Bacterial tmRNA, also known as 10Sa RNA or SsrA, is named for its dual tRNA and mRNA-like properties. Its role is to liberate the mRNA from a stalled ribosome. The record is from RNAcentral. Lineage: Bacteria; Pseudomonadati; Pseudomonadota; Alphaproteobacteria; Rhodobacterales; Paracoccaceae.